RNAcentral lists this long non-coding RNA (508 nucleotides) under Phoenix dactylifera (date palm). Its description in RNAcentral is "long non-coding RNA (PDAC_LNC002585)". Lineage: Eukaryota; Viridiplantae; Streptophyta; Magnoliopsida; Arecales; Arecaceae. The record is from RNAcentral.
AAAAUUCAUAAUUUGAAAAAUCAUGUAAAAUGAUGUGUCGUAAUUUUGUAGAACAUCCAAAUGCAUCUCAGACUAAAAAUAUAUUAAGUGUUUAAAUCUAUAUGGAUAUAUAGUUUUAGUUCUCUAGGUGGGAUUAAAUCAAGUUUUCAUCAGCUUUUGAGCAAUAAUGCACUAGAAAAUGCAACUGUGUUUCCCUUAAGCACUUUUGUAAUUGAUGCUGGUGAAGUCCUCCACCUCACAGAAGAACAAGAACAACACAAACUCCUUCUACAGCCUGAUUCAUCUUCUGCUUUUGUUAAACUAGGCAUUAAUAAUUCACAACCAUGAUUUUGUUGGUAGGACAUAAAUAUAACACCGUUCACAUCCAUUGCCGCAAUAUUAAACCAAUGCCUCCUAGUCUACAAGGAUAAUUACCAAUUUGAGUUAGGGUGCAAUAUUACAAUGGUUAACUUUCACAGAAUUGUAAAUGAAAAAUAUCUUAUUCUUAGACUUUGUUUUCACAUGCCUC